RNAcentral lists this long non-coding RNA (4119 nucleotides) under Canis lupus familiaris (dog). Its description in RNAcentral is "lncRNA (ENSCAFG00845007595.1)". The record is from RNAcentral. Lineage: Eukaryota; Metazoa; Chordata; Mammalia; Carnivora; Canidae.
UUUUUUCUUUUUUCUUUUAGGUCAUUUUAUAUACCUUGGUCUGGCAUUUUCCACACUGUUGUCUAUUUUGGUAUAUUUAACUUUCUCAUUAGUCUAGAAGUCACCAUGGGCAGAGGCCUCAAGAAGGCCUAUUUUUGUUCACCAUAUGCCUGGCCCAAAGUAGAGCACUCACAGAUAAUUUUUGAAGUGAAUGAAUUACUACAAUUUUCUUCUAUCUAGCUCAUGGUCUGCUUCAGGAAGGGGUUUUCUAUUUAUGUCAUCAUUUGGCUGUGUUCGGUAGGUCAGAGGGGAAGCAGGAUGGUUUUUGGAGUCCAACAGUUCUGUUCUUCCUGACUUUGGCACUCAGGCAACUCAUGUAACUUCCCUGGGCAUCAUUUUCACAGAGGAAUAAAAAUGUCAUCUUCGUGAAGCUAAGAAGGAAAACUGAGAUAAUGUAUAUGCUGCCUAGUAAGAAAACAACAACAACAGCAAUAGCAGUACACAUUAUUGAAUGUUUACUGUGCACUACUCAUUGCUGUUACCACUGUCUCUGUGUUAAUUCAUUUAAUCCUCAUAAUGACACCUUUAGGUAAUAUCUGCCAUUAUCCCCAUUUGACAGAUAAGGAAACUGAGACCCUAAGAUGUCCAGUAACUUGCCAAAAAUUUAUACACAGUUUAUACGGGACAGAACUGAGGCUUUAGUUGCCAGCCAGCCUGACUGGCUCCAGAGAUCAAAUUUUCUUUUAUGAUAUCAAAAUGUUUUAAUCUCAGGCAAUAGGGAAUACUCCCAGGGCCCAUAAUAGAAUGACACAUAUUGCCCUACUGCCUCCCCUCUUGACAUGUUUAUGUCUCACCAUUGUGGUGCCUCCAUCCUUUAUCUGAUCUGUAGUCCCCUUGCCCCAGAUCAUAUUUCAGAAGUCAGAUUUCCCUCUCUGCACUGAAACCUCAACAUUCACUGUGCUUUACACUUAGGAUCUGUGGAUUCUUAUAAUAACCAAUUCUUAAAUUACACCUGGCAUAAUAUAUUCUUAAUGAAAUAUUUCUUAAUAAUAACUAAUAAUAUUUAGUUAUUAGCUAUUGCUUUCCAAAGAAGAGUUUUUUUGUUUGACUUAAAUAUUUGCAGUAAAAUAAUGAUAAAAGAGAAUGAUGGUAAAUGAUUGAGGCCAGGUAUUGAAAACAAAUAGAAAACUCAGAAUAUGUAAAAAAAAAUAUGUAUACUAAUAGAUAAAACCACAAGGGUCACACAAGAGCUUCAAAAAUAUAUCUCUCUACAUUUAUCUACUUACAUAUCUACCUACCUACCUACCUACCUAUCUACCUACCUAUCUUUCAGCUUCCUGGCAGCCCAAGUGAAAAAGAAUGCAUGGACUACAACAAAAAAACUACCAUUUCAGAAGGGGAAAUAAUAGAAUCUGAGUAGAUCCUCUGGUGAGUGGGAUUUUAUAUAUGGGAUGGAACAAGGACAGAAGAAAUAGGCACUGUCUUCAACAAUAGUGCUAGAUCAAAAGCAUUGAUUCUAAUGCUUCACAUGACCCUUUGAGAAACAUCAAAGGAUGUGAGGAAUACCAACAUAUAAUCAGAGAAGCCAAUUCUGUUGUAAAUAUCAAGGACGCUGGCCAGUCCAUCUUUGCUUCAAAGUAGAAAAAAAAAAAAUGCCUUAGUCUUUAUUUCCUUUUCUCCUGGGUAACUCUCCUUUGUUACUUCACUCCUGUUGAUAUAUUAUUUUGAGAUGGAGAAGAGGACCUAAUGCUCUCUUUGUCCUCAUGGUUGAACCAUUCGUUCUGCAAUAAUGCCCCGAUUUGGAUAAUAUAAUCAUCCAGAAGUGCUCUGAAAUGAAAUUAUAGGACUGGCCUGGAUUGGAGUUUCUCAGAAGAAGUGGGUCUGUACUGAAAAUUACUUACUGCCCUUUGCAAAGGUGGCAGUUAAAUAACUCAACAAGAGGUCCCUCAGAGAAAAUCAAUACACACCAAAUUGCAAAAAUGUGGAUGCAAUUUGUGGGGAAAGUGGAUUUGAUGGGAGUCUGCGUUGGCUGCCAGCAUGGAGUCAUUUUCAAGGUGGAGGAAAGCAUGUUACAGUACUCCAUUCCAAAUGCUGAGCUGGUCUGCUCCUUGCCCUGCAGACUCCAUCUCCCCAGUGCCUCAGAAAACCUGACCUGUCAGCUCAACCCCACUCCAGGCUAUGGGACCAAUUGUGCCUUGAGGUACAAGCCUGACAUGGCUUCAGCCAUAUUUGACCAUGGGCAUCAAAAGCCUUGGCUUGUCAUGGAGAGCUCACCCUGUGUGCCAGUCCAGGUAGUGGGACUUUUCCUUGUGCUUCACCUUUCCUGGGGUCUUUGUUCUAAGAAUGGGAAUCCUGUUGUGUUCCUCAUUUCCAGAGUCUCUGGCUUGGUAACCUGCCUACCAAUCUCUAGGAAAAGGCUCUGUUUGCCCUUGCUGUCCUCCUAACGCCAUCUGUUAAAGGAAGUAGACUUUGAAAAAUGCAAAUGGGAUACCUUGACUCCUUUCCUAAAACUUCCCAUAGGCUCCACUUUGGAUUUAGAGCAUGCAUUGAUCUGUUAGAUUUUGUGUGAGCCAGGUCCUCUCUGUGCUCCAAACUGACAUAAACACUCUCUGUUUAUACAGUCUUCAAUUUCUCCAGUAAUCUAAGACCCUGUCACAGGGAUUUGCAUCACCUAUAUUCUCUGCCUGGAAUGCUGUUCCCACGCUAAUGCCCAGCUAGCUUCUUUAAGUCCUUCAGCUGAAGGACACCUGCUAAGCAAAACCUUUCCUGCCACUCUUUCUAAUGUAGCACUCCUCCCCCGUUAUUUCUCUCAUUGCAUUAACUUCCCAGCUUCAAGCUAUAGUAACAAUAUUUAUUUAUUUGUGUCAUGUUUACUGUCUGAAUCCUCUAAUAUAAAUGACAAGAGGACAUAUCUACUUUAUUUACAGCUAUAUUCCAAGUGACUAGCAUUGUAUUGAGGGCACUUGAAAAACAAAUAUUUGUAAAUUGAAUUAAUGAAUCAUGAACCAAUGAAUGAUCUAGACCCCUGGUGCUACCUACAUGGUUGCCUCAAGUUACCAUUGAAAAACCUCUUGUCUUAAUGAAGUUCUACUAUCAGAUAUUGCUGGACAUUCUUGAUGAUGAUGUUUAACCAUAAUGCUACUCGUUGUCUGCAUAGUGUUUUUUCAAGCUUUGUGGGGUAUUGUAGGGCCCUUCUAUUAAUUUUAAAUGAAAUCUCGUGAUGAAAUCUAAAAGAGAAAACUGAUGAAAAUAAGUCUGCUUUACUUGACUUAGGAGUGAGAAGAUUCAAGCUUAGCCUAGUUCCCCUUAGAUACGUCUGAAAAAUGUGGAGCCCUCCACAGCAUGGCGACCUGUGGUCAAGGAGUUGCUUCAAUAGCUCUUGGUCUGCUUCUAGACUGACUUCCCUUUGUAAACAACUGGGUCUUAUCCACCUUUGAUCACCAAGCACCAAGUCCACUCAAGACUGUGGGCUUAAUUCAAUCUCUCCUGCCCAUCCCAGCACUGCAAUUUUAAUAGUCCCAUAUCUUGUUACAUCACAGAACACAUCACCAAGACCCUGGACUGGAACAGUUGGUCUCUGAACUUGAUGUAAGCCAGUGAUAAAUCCCUCAACCAAUACAUAAAAAACUUUGUUAGUCUACUAGUGCCAAGAAAGCAGGGCAGAUUUCUGUAAAGGGAUUCUAACAGAUGGGGUAAUUUGAAUCCAUUUUAUUAUUGUCUUAAAAAUGUAUCUAAUGCACCCUCAGUGAGGCUUCGAAAGACCCUGACAAAAAUCUGAAGUUGAAAUUAAACCAAAAAGGCAUAUGCUUACCAGAUUUCCAGUGUCAGUAAAGUCUUCCCUAAUUACUGCUCUGGUUCCCAACAAAAAGAAGCCCACAUAGUCACCCUGCCCUGAGGCAUGUCUCAAUAAACCAAUAAACCUAAUACCAAAUCCUGGAGUCCCUAGAGCUCUGAUCUCCCAAAAAAUAAUAACAACACUAGUAACAACAACAACAACAAUGAUAAUGAUGAUGUGAAUUUGAAGCCCUUUACAUUUAUUUUUAAUGCCUGGUGGUACGUUCAAGAAACAGAAAACCCACACCACCAGAACGCAUGAGCAGAACCACUGACUACAGUUGAAGAGACCCAAGGGUCUUAGGU